This 391-nucleotide ribosomal RNA is filed under the name uncultured bacterium. Its description in RNAcentral is "bacterial SSU rRNA". It matches the Rfam family "Bacterial small subunit ribosomal RNA", at positions 505 to 898 of the family's 1533-position model. The record is from RNAcentral.
GUGCCAGCCGCCGCGGUAAUACGUAGGGCGCAAGCGUUGUCCGGAAUUAUUGGGUUUAAAGGGUGCGUAGGCGGCCCUGUAAGUCAGUGGUGAAAUACCUCAGCUCAACUGAGGGGGUGCCAUUGAUACUGCAGGGCUUGAGUACAGAUGAGGUAGGCGGAAUUGACGGUGUAGCGGUGAAAUGCAUAGGUAUCGUCAAGAACACCGAUAGCGAAGGCAGCUUACCAAGCUGUAACUGACGCUGAGGCACGAAAGUGUGGGGAUCAAACAGGAUUAGAUACCCUGGUAGUCCACACUGUAAACGUUGAUGACUCGAUGUUGGCGAUACACUGCCAGCGUCCAAGAGCAAUCGUUAAGUCAUCCACCUGGGGAGUACGCCGGCAACGGUGAA